GACGAACGCUGGCGGCGUGCCUAAUACAUGCAAGUAGGACGCACAGUUUAUACCGUAGCUUGCUACACCAUAGACUGUGAGUUGCGAACGGGUGAGUAACGCGUAGGUAACCUGCCUAUUAGAGGGGGAUAACUAUUGGAAACGAUAGCUAAUACCGCAUAACAGUAUGUAACACAUGUUAGAUGCUUGAAAGAUGCAAUUGCAUCGCUAGUAGAUGGACCUGCGUUGUAUUAGCUAGUAGGUAGGGUAAAGGCCUACCUAGGCAACGAUACAUAGCCGACCUGAGAGGGUGAUCGGCCACACUGGGACUGAGACACGGCCCAGACUCCUACGGGAGGCAGCAGUAGGGAAUCUUCGGCAAUGGGGGGAACCCUGACCGAGCAACGCCGCGUGAGUGAAGAAGGUUUUCGGAUCGUAAAGCUCUGUUGUUAAGGAAGAACGAGUGUGAGAAUGGAAAGUUCAUACUGUGACGGUACUUAACCAGAAAGGGACGGCUAACUACGUGCCAGCAGCCGCGGUAAUACGUAGGUCCCGAGCGUUGUCCGGAUUUAUUGGGCGUAAAGCGAGCGCAGGCGGUUAGAAAAGUCUGAAGUGAAAGGCAGUGGCUCAACCAUUGUAGGCUUUGGAAACUGUUUAACUUGAGUGCAGAAGGGGAGAGUGGAAUUCCAUGUGUAGCGGUGAAAUGCGUAGAUAUAUGGAGGAACACCGGUGGCGAAAGCGGCUCUCUGGUCUGUAACUGACGCUGAGGCUCGAAAGCGUGGGGAGCGAACAGG
Molecule: ribosomal RNA, 773 nt
Filed under: Streptococcus anginosus
Lineage: Bacteria; Bacillati; Bacillota; Bacilli; Lactobacillales; Streptococcaceae
Description: bacterial SSU rRNA
Rfam family: Bacterial small subunit ribosomal RNA
Source: RNAcentral